AGGUUGCUGUUGAAAGUGUCUCUUGGGCUUGCAAACUUGGUCUUGCCUGUUCUGGUGUUUAGAGGGAUAACAAAAUGCAAAAGAGUACCAAGCUAACGUGUAUUCUUUUCCAGACUCUAUCUAUCCUUUGUUGGGAUUUUUUUUUUUAAGACCACAUGAGAUUUGGUGGUAAGUAGGCUCCAUGCCCAGUGUGGACCCCAAGAUGGGGCCUGAACUCACGACCCUGAGAUCAAGACCUGAGCUGAGAUCAAGUGUUGAAUGCUUAACCAACUGAGACAUCCACAUGCCCCCACACAUGUUUAAAUUUGCAGACCAGCUGUGGAAGGAAAUUGAUAGACUCAAAUUUCAGGGAUUCUAAGAAUCUGCUACCUUGAGCCCUCCUGUCCUCAAAUACUUGAUCCUGCAACGCUGAGCCCAGAGUAUACUCUCAAUGAAUCUCUUUGGAGAAGACAGGAUGGAUGGAACUCAAACAAGUGGUGCCCAGGAAGAGGCAGUCAUGGAUCAUGGAAAUGACCAAAAGAAGUCACUUUUAUUUUCAAGCCAAGCAUGAAUCUCCAGAGGGACAGAGAGAAUCAUAACUUUUCUUAAAUAACAAGAUGGUGAAAUCAAUCAAAUAAUAGUUCACUGAAUCAGCAUCACUACUCCCAUCUUUACCUAUGAGGACGUCAAGACAUAAAGUGAUUAAAUUAAUUACCAAGAUAAAAAAGGAGUGUGUGGCUAUGCCAAGAUUCAUCUCACCACCAGUGAUGGUCAUGUGGGAUAGUCGCGAUUCUGCCUCUCUGAGUUUGUAUCUGGAGUGAUACAGCCAACCCACUGAAACAUGAUGACCAAAGAAUUAUUAGCAAAUGUAACAUCUGGAAGUUGUUUCAAUAGUGCAGGAUGUUAAAGCAAGUGUGUGUGGGUAAUUAAUUGAUUUAGCACAUUUAAAGGAAGUUUCUUCUCAAUUACAAUACUUACUAGGAAAUAAUGGUGUACUAAAGAAACAGCAUAUUUUCCAUGGCUAGGGUUGCCAUUAUGCCAUUUCUUUCUCCCUUAGUGAACGACGUAGGCACUUAAGUUAAGGGUUUGAGCUAUAAAAUGUGUCUUAAAAUGCUGGUCAAUAGGAUAUUGGAUAACUUUCUGGAAAUUUUCAAAAGAUCUGCUCCUAAAACAUUAAAUUUAUAUGGCUUCAGAUGUAUUUAGUUAUUUUGCUUAACUGUUACAGUGACUUCCCUCACCUAAUAAUUCAAACACCUCUUAAACUACUGAACAACCAUUAGGAUAUGCAUUGAUUCUAUAAGCUGCAGGUUACAAGCGUAUUUUACACAGUCAAGAAUUUUUAGAACUCAAAGGCUUCCUCUAUUAUUUGUUAAAUGGCUACUUUGCUGAGAGACAAAAUGGUACAUGGGUUCAGCCUGGUGGCAUUAAUGGCAACAAGCCAAACCCAAACAGAACAAAACAAAACAAUAAUAAUCACAUCUAGGUCCUGUGGCAAAAAGAGCUUGUGAAAUAUGCUAUGGAGCUGAUACAUUUAACUGAAGCUAAAAAUAAUUGAAAGAUAAAUGAAUGGAGGCAGUAAAAAUUUUCUAAAACACUUAGCUCUGGAUGGAAUUAGAAUAGUCUCCUGACCAUAUUGUAAAAGUCUUAUUUGAUAACAAGAUCGGCCUUCGUUCCUGCAAAGGUAUCAUAUUUUGUGUGCAGUCUAAUAAUUCAGGAGAAAUAAGGGAAAAGAACUGGACAAAAUACCAAUCCUAGGAUCUGAAUUAGUUGAUUAAAUGAACCCUUGUGAGCAUGUAUUAUGUACCAGGAGUUUGCAGACACAGAGACAAGUAAGCUGCAAGAAAAAGUGAGAAGGGUCCAGGAACAAAGUGCUGUGGGAGAACACCAGAGAGGGACUAACUCUGCAUAGAGCACUGCGGGACACUUCACUGAGAGGAUGACAUUUCUGCUGACAGAGGGCAACGUGUGAACAGGCUCAGAGGGGGACAAAAGAAUGGCACCUGGAAAGGCUAUCCCAAUCCCUCAUCAUGUUUUAUCAUCUUUAUACUGGUGAAUUCAUCACAUUUCAGAGUCUAGACUCAGCCCUGCACACUUAAUAAUUCAGUCUGUUUAGUAUUCCAGUCUUGGAGGAACGGAAGAUGCACACUCAAACCAGCAAACCUUACAAAACACAAUGUAAAAGACUGAAAUGCCAGUUUGUUCACUCACUAUGAUACAUAUAAUUCAAUUAGAAAAGGCCUUUGUGCCAUCCGGGACAGAGAAGUUUCUACCCAUAUAGAACACUAGAAUUACCAAAAGUUGCUUAGAGAGAUUUGGAUCAGAACAAAGAAAUCAGAAUGCAUGUGAGCCUUACAUUUUGAUAACGUGAUGAAUUUGUCUCUGUAUUAGAGCUGUCCGGGCUCACAUCAUUGUACAAUGCGUAUAGUAAAGCAGCAGGAUUUGAAAAGAUACUAAUUCGUUUGAGACAUGUACUUGACAUACCGGCUAGACAUUCAUGUGAAGAGAUGUAGUAGAGAGCUGGUGUUUGAACCUGGACCUCAGAAGAGAGAUCCUUGUUGUGGGUAGACAUCAAGACCCAACAUUUAGGUAGUAGUUGAAACCAUGGAACUAGAUGAGAGAGAGUGUACAUUGAGAGAGUGUGUGCAAAUUGAGGAGAUAAAAGCAGCCAUUGUUCCUCUAAAACGUGGUUCAUAAUAAAGAAUUGGGUGGAAGGAGUCUGCAAAAGAGAAUAGGUAGGAAAGGCCAAAGAAGAAGUAAAAGCAGAAGAACAUAUAGUCAUGGGGUUUCAGUGAGGGAGUGAUCUGUGGAGGGAUCAAUGGGAAAUGAAAAAUUGGUAUGGUGAGCGGAAGCUACUCUUUUUAAGAAGAUAGUCAGUGAAAGAAAUAAAAAAAAAAGGCAUGGCACUGACUGGAGGAACAUUUCCAGAAGGCUUUCAGUAGUACCUGUGCAUGGCCACAUUUUAGCAUUUUGCCCUUCAAUUGCUGAUUUAGCCCACUCCUGCAUAUUGAAAGCUCUUUGAAAGCAAGGACUGCGUGGAAUCUGGUCAUCACUUUCUAGGGUGUUUGGAUGCAGAACUGAGGAAGCAUUCUGUAAGAGCUGAAAGGAAAUAGUUAAUAGAAAGAGGCAACAUAUAACUGACAAAAGAAGUAAUUGACAAAUCAAGGAUGACGGUUUGCUUCUAGACCAGGAUCCAGAACACAACUGGAAACUUCAUUUUUUAACAAAAGAUCUUUUCCCCUUCUUCUGAACUAGAGGGAAGUGAGAUGAGGAUGGGUUCCUAUGUAAAUUAAAAGUAUAGACGUGGGGCUGGGAAGCCAAAGAAAUUCAUUCUGGAUAGCCUUGCUCUCCUUAGUGAUGUAGAAUGAAUUUAUUGGAUAUCUAAUAAAUGCCAGGCACAUAUAUUUCCUAAUAUCGAUUCAUGGUGACUCUCUAUUCAUAAGAGAGAUCUGUCUUUAGUUUUAUUUUUUUGUGUGUAAUGUUUGUCAGAUUUUGAUGUCAGAAUAAUCCCAUAUCCAUAAAAUAGAUUUGAUUGCUUUCCAUAUUUUUUUCCUGUGUUCUGGAACAAAUUAUAUAGAAUUGAGUUUACUAGUUCUUUUAAAGUUUCAAGUAAUUCACUAGUAAAACAAUCCCUAGAGAAUUUAGAGCAAUUUUUGAAAUGUUUUUCAUUAUACCUAUGGUUAUUAUUCAAUUCAGAUUUUUCUAAUUUUUAUAAAUCUUUAUUGUCAGUUUAUAUCUUUCAUGAAAAUCAUCCAUUUCACCCAAUUUUACAUAUUUACUGCAUACAUAGGGUCUUAUAUUGUAAUCUCAUACAUUGUAUUCUGUUUGACUUUUGUACCCUUUCUCUUUCUAAUUCUAUUUGUUUUCUUCUUUUUCUUAAUCAGAUUUUCUGGAAACCUAUCUACUCUAAUUUUAUUGCCAAUAAUUCAUGGGCUCAUUAAAUUUAUUUUUUCCUAAUUUUAAUCCAUUAAAAUUUGCUUUUAAAAUAUUAUUUUCUUUUUUCUUUUAUUCUUAUUUAUUUUACUUCAUUGUUUUGUUAAUUCUUGUUUAAUAAUGUGUAUGUUUAAAGUUGGGAAAUGUCCCCUGAAUGUAGGCUUUUGCCUUCGAUUCCUCCAGGGCUGCUUUCCAUUAUUUUAUUUCUGUCAAAUAAGUCUUUGAUCAUUUUUGUAUUUUUAUUUUUAUUCUAUGUUAUUGCAGCUAUUGUAAACAGCAAAGAGUUGGGUUUUUCUACCCUGAUCUCAAAAGCUUUAAACAUGAGGAUUUAACUGGUUCAUUUUGAGAGUCACAGGUGAUAUUUGGCCUUUCUCUCUGUCAUUAUUUUUCAUGCUUUAACAUUUAUUUUUCCCUUUUGCUACAUGAGCUAUGUUUUAUUUGUUCUUCUAGUUUUUCCCAUGUAUUUGAAAGUUCAC
Molecule: long non-coding RNA, 4385 nt
Organism: Mirounga angustirostris (Northern elephant seal)
Lineage: Eukaryota; Metazoa; Chordata; Mammalia; Carnivora; Phocidae
Exons: 5
Source: RefSeq, a predicted model, not a curated record